Molecule: ribosomal RNA, 1141 nt
Filed under: Salmonella enterica subsp. enterica serovar Montevideo str. 644129
Lineage: Bacteria; Pseudomonadati; Pseudomonadota; Gammaproteobacteria; Enterobacterales; Enterobacteriaceae
Description: partial 23S ribosomal RNA
Rfam family: Bacterial large subunit ribosomal RNA
Source: RNAcentral
UGGUGAACUCCACAUACGCAUCCUUUGCUGAGGAUACGGUUAACGGAGCGAAAGCGACGUUCAACCGCAAAAGAAGCAGAGGGGGCUUAGUGGUGGGGUGACUGCGUACCUUUUGUAUAAUGGGUCAGCGACUUAUAUUCUGUAGCAAGGUUAACCGAAUAGGGGAGCCGGAGGGAAACCGAGUCUUAAUUGGGCGUUAAGUUGCAGGGUAUAGACCCGAAACCCGGUGAUCUAGCCAUGGGCAGGUUGAAGGUUGGGUAACACUAACUGGAGGACCGAACCGACUAAUGUUGAAAAAUUAGCGGAUGACCUGUGGCUGGGGGUGAAAGGCCAAUCAAACCGGGAGAUAGCUGGUUCUCCCCGAAAGCUAUUUAGGUAGCGCCUCGUGAAUUCAUCUCCGGGGGUAGAGCACUGUUUCGGCUAGGGGGCCAUCCCGGCUUACCAACCCGAUGCAAACUGCGAAUACCGGAGAAUGUUAUCACGGGAGACACACGGCGGGUGCUAACGUCCGUCGUGAAGAGGGAAACAACCCAGACCGCCAGCUAAGGUCCCAAAGUCAUGGUUAAGUGGGAAACGAUGUGGGAAGGCCCAGACAGCCAGGAUGUUGGCUUAGAAGCAGCCAUCAUUUAAAGAAAGCGUAAUAGCUCACUGGUCGAGUCGGCCUGCGCGGAAGAUGUAACGGGGCUAAACCAUGCACCGAAGCUGCGGCAGCGACACUCAGGUGUUGUUGGGUAGGGGAGCGUUCUGUAAGCCUGUGAAGGUGGCCUGUGAGGGUUGCUGGAGGUAUCAGAAGUGCGAAUGCUGACAUAAGUAACGAUAAAGCGGGUGAAAAGCCCGCUCGCCGGAAGACCAAGGGUUCCUGUCCAACGUUAAUCGGGGCAGGGUGAGUCGACCCCUAAGGCGAGGCCGAAAGGCGUAGUCGAUGGGAAACGGGUUAAUAUUCCCGUACUUGGUGUUACUGCGAAGGGGGGACGGAGAAGGCUAUGUUGGCCGGGCGACGGUUGUCCCGGUUUAAGCGUGUAGGUGUGUGUUCCAGGUAAAUCCGGUUCACUUUAACACUGAGGCGUGACGACGAGGCACUACGGUGCUGAAGCAACAAAUGCCCUGCUUCCAGGAAAAGCCUCUAAGCAUCAGGUAACAU